CCCCACUGCUAUCGGGAUGGGACUAAGACAUGCUAGUCGUGCGUCUCCAAGCCAUAGCGGAGACGCGGCGCACAGCUCAGUAACACGUGGCUAACCUGCCCUUAGGACAGGGACAACCCCGGGAAACUGGGGCUAAUCCCUGAUAGGUGAGGGUUCCUGGAAUGGGCCCUCGCCGAAAGGGCGCCUAGACCAUGCUUCUAGGCGCUGCCCAAAGAUGGAGCCGCGGCCGAUCAGGUUGUUGGUGAGGCAACGGCUCACCAAGCCUUUAACCGGUACGGGCCGUGAGAGCGGGAGCCCGGAGAUGGGUACUGAGACAAGGACCCAGGCCCUACGGGGCGCAGCAGUCGCGAAAACUCCGCAAUACGCGAAAGCGUGACGGGGCUAUCCCGAGUGCCGUCCGCUGAGGAUGGCUUUUCCCUAGUGUAUAAAGCUGGGGGAAUAAGGAGAGGGCAAGCCUGGUGUCAGCCGCCGCGGUAAUACCAGCUCUCCGAGUGGUGGGGAUGCUUAUUGGGCCUAAAGCAUUCGUAGCCGGUUGGGCAAGUCCUCCGUUAAAUCCAGCGAUUCAAUCGUUGGACUGCGGGGGAUACUGCCCGGCUUGGGGGCGGAAGAGGCCGACGGUAUUCUCGGGGUAGGGGUGAAAUCCUAUAAUCCCGGGAGGACCACCAGUGGCGAAGGCUGUCGGCUAGAACGCGCCCGACGGUGAGGGAUGAAAGCUGGGGGAGCGAACCGGAUUAGAUACCCGGGUAGUCCCAGCUGUAAACGAUGCAGGCUAGGUGUUGGCGCGGCUACGUGCCGCUCCAGUGCCGCAAGGAAGCCGUUAAGCCUGCCGCCUGGGAAGUACGGCCGCAAGGCUGAAACUUAAAGGAAUUGGCGGGGGAGCACCACAAGGGNUGAAGCUUGCGGUUU
Molecule: ribosomal RNA, 906 nt
Filed under: uncultured archaeon
Lineage: Archaea
Description: bacterial SSU rRNA
Rfam family: Archaeal small subunit ribosomal RNA
Source: RNAcentral